RNAcentral lists this transfer RNA (75 nucleotides) under Pseudomonas sp. FeN3W. RNAcentral describes it as "tRNA-Lys". It matches the Rfam family "tRNA". Rfam says of the family: Transfer RNA (tRNA) molecules are approximately 80 nucleotides in length. Their secondary structure includes four short double-helical elements and three loops (D, anti-codon, and T loops). Further hydrogen bonds mediate the characteristic L-shaped molecular structure. tRNAs have two regions of fundamental functional importance: the anti-codon, which is responsible for specific mRNA codon recognition, and the 3' end, to which the tRNAs corresponding amino acid is attached (by aminoacyl-tRNA synthetases). tRNAs cope with the degeneracy of the genetic code in two manners: having more than one tRNA (with a specific anti-codon) for a particular amino acid; and 'wobble' base-pairing, i.e. permitting non-standard base-pairing at the 3rd anti-codon position. Lineage: Bacteria; Pseudomonadati; Pseudomonadota; Gammaproteobacteria; Pseudomonadales; Pseudomonadaceae. The record is from RNAcentral.
GGGUUGUUAGCUCAGCGGUAGAGCAAUCGGCUUUUAACCGAUUGGCCGUAGGUUCGAAUCCUACACGACCCACCA